UCCGGCUUAUCACCGGCAGUCUCCUCAGAGUUCUCAGCAUUACCUGUUAGCAACAGAGGAUGAGGGUUGCGCUCGUUGCGGGACUUAACCCAACAUCUCACGACACGAGCUGACGACAGCCAUGCAGCACCUGUGCUAGCGUGUAUUGCUACACCCAGUCCGUUUCCGGAAAGGUUCACUAGCAUGUCAAAGCCUGGUAAGGUUCUUCGCGUUGCCUCGAAUUAAACCACAUGUUCCACCGCUUGUGCGGGUCCCCGUCAAUUUCUUUGAGUUUUAAUCUUGCGACCGUACUCCCCAGGCGGGGUGCUUAACGCGUUAGCUACGCCACUGAAGCAUAAGCUCCAACAGCUAGCACCCAUCGUUUAGGGCGUGGACUAC
This 378-nucleotide unclassified non-coding RNA is filed under the name uncultured Rickettsiales bacterium. RNAcentral describes it as "contains 16S-23S intergenic spacer region". The record is from RNAcentral. Lineage: Bacteria; Pseudomonadati; Pseudomonadota; Alphaproteobacteria; Rickettsiales.